RNAcentral lists this non-coding RNA (24 nucleotides) under Arabidopsis thaliana (thale cress). Lineage: Eukaryota; Viridiplantae; Streptophyta; Magnoliopsida; Brassicales; Brassicaceae. The record is from RNAcentral.
UUAAACCGUCAGAAUUCUUGCUGA